UCUUCUAUGAUGAUUUUAUCAAAAUGACUUUCGUUCUUCUGAGUUUGAGAGAGCCCAAGGACAGCCAAAGA
This 71-nucleotide small nucleolar RNA is filed under the name Bos grunniens (domestic yak). RNAcentral describes it as "Small nucleolar RNA SNORD59 (ENSBGRG00000003353.1)". It matches the Rfam family "Small nucleolar RNA SNORD59". From Rfam's summary of the family: U59 belongs to the C/D class of snoRNA which contain the C (UGAUGA) and D (CUGA) box motifs. The record is from Rfam by way of RNAcentral. Lineage: Eukaryota; Metazoa; Chordata; Mammalia; Artiodactyla; Bovidae.